Molecule: ribosomal RNA, 1461 nt
Filed under: Cronobacter sakazakii
Lineage: Bacteria; Pseudomonadati; Pseudomonadota; Gammaproteobacteria; Enterobacterales; Enterobacteriaceae
Description: partial 23S ribosomal RNA
Rfam family: Bacterial large subunit ribosomal RNA
Source: RNAcentral
GUCCCGGUUUAAGCGUGUAGGCUGACUUUCCAGGCAAAUCCGGAAAGUUAAGGCUGAGGCGUGAUGACGAGGCACUACGGUGCUGAAGUGACAAAUGCCCUGCUUCCAGGAAAAGCCUCUAAGCAUCAGGUAACAUCAAAUCGUACCCCAAACCGACACAGGUGGUCAGGUAGAGAAUACCAAGGCGCUUGAGAGAACUCGGGUGAAGGAACUAGGCAAAAUGGUGCCGUAACUUCGGGAGAAGGCACGCUGACAUGUAGGUGAAGCCCCUGCGGGUGGAGCUGAAGUCAGUCGAAGAUACCAGCUGGCUGCAACUGUUUAUUAAAAACACAGCACUGUGCAAACACGAAAGUGGACGUAUACGGUGUGACGCCUGCCCGGUGCCGGAAGGUUAAUUGAUGGGGUUAUCGCAAGAGAAGCUCCUGAUCGAAGCCCCGGUAAACGGCGGCCGUAACUAUAACGGUCCUAAGGUAGCGAAAUUCCUUGUCGGGUAAGUUCCGACCUGCACGAAUGGCGUAAUGAUGGCCAGGCUGUCUCCACCCGAGACUCAGUGAAAUUGAACUCGCUGUGAAGAUGCAGUGUACCCGCGGCAAGACGGAAAGACCCCGUGAACCUUUACUACAGCUUGACACUGAACAUUGAGCCUUGAUGUGUAGGAUAGGUGGGAGGCUUUGAAGCGUGGACGCCAGUCUGCGUGGAGCCGACCUUGAAAUACCACCCUUUAAUGUUUGAUGUUCUAACCUGGCGCCGUGAUCCGGCGUGGGGACAGUGUCUGGUGGGUAGUUUGACUGGGGCGGUCUCCUCCCAAAGUGUAACGGAGGAGCACGAAGGUCAGCUAAUCCUGGUCGGACAUCAGGAGGUUAGUGCAAUGGCAUAAGCUGGCUUGACUGCGAGAGUGACGGCUCGAGCAGGUGCGAAAGCAGGUCAUAGUGAUCCGGUGGUUCUGUAUGGAAGGGCCAUCGCUCAACGGAUAAAAGGUACUCCGGGGAUAACAGGCUGAUACCGCCCAAGAGUUCAUAUCGACGGCGGUGUUUGGCACCUCGAUGUCGGCUCAUCACAUCCUGGGGCUGAAGUAGGUCCCAAGGGUAUGGCUGUUCGCCAUUUAAAGUGGUACGCGAGCUGGGUUUAGAACGUCGUGAGACAGUUCGGUCCCUAUCUGCCGUGGGCGCUGGAGAAUUGAGGGGGGCUGCUCCCAGUACGAGAGGACCGGAGUGGACGCAUCACUGGUGUUCGGGUUGUCAUGCCAAUGGCACUGCCCGGUAGCUAAAUGCGGAAGAGAUAAGUGCUGAAAGCAUCUAAGCACGAAACUUGCCCCGAGAUGAGUUCUCCCUGAGACUAUAAGUCUCCUGAAGGAACGUUGAAGACGACGACGUUGAUAGGCCGGGUGUGUAAGCGCAGCGAUGCGUUGAGCUAACCGGUACUAAUGAACCGUGAGGCUUAACCUUACAACGCCAAAGAAGU